ACUAACAAUUUCAUUAGUGGUCAAUUUGAAACGAUACAGAGAAGAUUAGCAUGGCCCCUGCACUAAGGAUGACACGCUCAAUCAAAGAGAAGCUACCAAUUUUU
RNAcentral lists this small nuclear RNA (104 nucleotides) under Sclerotinia borealis F-4128. Lineage: Eukaryota; Fungi; Ascomycota; Leotiomycetes; Helotiales; Sclerotiniaceae. The record is from RNAcentral.